This 56-nucleotide microRNA precursor is filed under the name Ornithorhynchus anatinus (platypus). RNAcentral's name for it is "Oan-Mir-430-P58_pre stem-loop". Lineage: Eukaryota; Metazoa; Chordata; Mammalia; Monotremata; Ornithorhynchidae. The record is from RNAcentral.
AUCUGGCCUGGGAGCACUCUUGAUUUAAAAAAAAAAAGUGCAACCAGAUUGGAUGA